RNAcentral lists this ribosomal RNA (253 nucleotides) under uncultured bacterium. Its description in RNAcentral is "partial 16S ribosomal RNA". It matches the Rfam family "Bacterial small subunit ribosomal RNA", at positions 524 to 776 of the family's 1533-position model. The record is from RNAcentral.
UACGUAGGGUGCAAGCGUUGUCCGGAAUUAUUGGGCGUAAAGAGCUCGUAGGCGGUUUGUCGCGUCUGCUGUGAAAACUCGGGGCUUAACCCCGGGCCUGCAGUGGGUACGGGCAGACUAGAGUGCGGUAGGGGAGACUGGAAUUCCUGGUGUAGCGGUGAAAUGCGCAGAUAUCAGGAGGAACACCUAUUGCGAAGGCAGCUCGCUGGGACGUUACUGACGCUGAGACGCGAAAGCGUGGGGAGCAAACAGG